RNAcentral lists this non-coding RNA (45 nucleotides) under Schistosoma margrebowiei. The record is from RNAcentral. Lineage: Eukaryota; Metazoa; Platyhelminthes; Trematoda; Strigeidida; Schistosomatidae.
GUCCAGCUGACGAGUCCCAAAUAGGACGAAACGCGCGUCCUGAAU